AUAAAUAUCAAAUAUAAAUAAUUCAAUGUUGGGUUCCCCUUAUAUCUGUUGAUAUAUGGCCGUGAGACGUACAAUGACGGGAUGGAGGUGAGUUACACUUGCUUUGCAAUUAGAGAAAGUCAGUGUAGAUGGAUCCGCGAGGUGUGCAUGAGUCAACCAGACUAAGAUACAUUUUCCUACGAUAAAAACAAAAAAUUGUAACAUAAGUAAGUAUACUAUAAUUUAGCAUGCAUAUCCAAAACAAGAGACCAAUGAAACAUUAUAUCACUUAUAACCAAAACAACACACCAUUUAUGUUGUAUCUCAUCUACAAUUAUACAUUAUGAUAUUUCUUUGGAAAAUUACAUAGUGAACUAUUUAAAAAAGUCUAACUGCGAUUAACAAGCUUCUACAUGAAAAUAUUGUUGU
Molecule: small RNA, 408 nt
Filed under: Arabidopsis thaliana (thale cress)
Lineage: Eukaryota; Viridiplantae; Streptophyta; Magnoliopsida; Brassicales; Brassicaceae
Description: ATSL099290
Source: RNAcentral